This 429-nucleotide ribosomal RNA is filed under the name Bacteroidota bacterium. Its description in RNAcentral is "Bacteroidetes bacterium partial 16S ribosomal RNA". It matches the Rfam family "Bacterial small subunit ribosomal RNA", at positions 355 to 776 of the family's 1533-position model. The record is from RNAcentral. Lineage: Bacteria; Pseudomonadati; Bacteroidota.
UAGGGAAUCUUCGGCAAUGGGGGGAACCCUGACCGAGCAACGCCGCGUGAGUGAAGAAGGUUUUCGGAUCGUAAAGCUCUGUUGUUAAGGAAGAACGAGUGUGAGAAUGGAAAGUUCAUACUGUGACGGUACUUAACCAGAAAGGGACGGCUAACUACGUGCCAGCAGCCGCGGUAAUACGUAGGUCCCGAGCGUUGUCCGGAUUUAUUGGGCGUAAAGCGAGCGCAGGCGGUUAGAUGAGUCUGAAGUUAAAGGCAGUGGCUCAACCAUUGUAGGCUUUGGAAACUGUUUAACUUGAGUGCAGAAGGGGAGAGUGGAAUUCCAUGUGUAGCGGUGAAAUGCGUAGAUAUAUGGAGGAACACCGGUGGCGAAAGCGGCUCUCUGGUCUGUAACUGACGCUGAGGCUCGAAAGCGUGGGGAGCGAACAGG